CUACGGGCUGCUCCAGCGAGGAAUAUUGCACAAUGGGGGAAACCCUGAUGCAGCAACGCCGCGUGGAGGAUGACGCAUUUCGGUGUGUAAACUCCUUUUAUCAGAGAAGAAAAUGACGGUAUCUGAUGAAUAAGCUCCGGCUAACUCCGUGCCAGCAGCCGCGGUAAUACGGAGGGAGCAAGCGUUAUUCGGAAUCACUGGGCGUAAAGGACGCGUAGGCGGGUUUUUAAGUCAGGUGUGAAAUCCUAUGGCUCAACCAUAGAACUGCACUUGAAACUGGGGACCUAGAGUAUGGAAGGGGCAGGUGGAAUUAGUGGUGUAGGGGUAAAAUCCGUAGAUAUCACUAGGAAUACCGAAAGCGAAGGCGACCUGCUGGGACAUUACUGACGCUGAGGCGUGAAAGCGUGGGGAGCAAACAGGAUUAGAUACCCUUGUAGUC
This 439-nucleotide ribosomal RNA is filed under the name uncultured bacterium. RNAcentral describes it as "partial 16S ribosomal RNA". It matches the Rfam family "Bacterial small subunit ribosomal RNA", at positions 339 to 795 of the family's 1533-position model. The record is from RNAcentral.